AGAAUGAACGCUGGCGGCGUGCCUAACACAUGCAAGUCGAGCGAGAAAGUGGCUUCGGCCACGAGUACAGCGGCGAACGGGUGAGUAACACGUGGAUAACCUGUCUGGAAGUGGGGGAUAACUCGGGGAAACCUGAGCUAAUACCGCAUACCCUUUCUGGAUCGAGGUCCAGAUCGGAAAGGUUGCCUCUUCUUCGAAAGCUAUCGCUUCCAGAGGGGUCCGCGCCUGAUUAGCUAGUUGGUGAGGUAAUGGCCCACCAAGGCGACGAUC
RNAcentral lists this ribosomal RNA (270 nucleotides) under uncultured soil bacterium. Its description in RNAcentral is "partial 16S ribosomal RNA". It matches the Rfam family "Bacterial small subunit ribosomal RNA", at positions 26 to 281 of the family's 1533-position model. The record is from RNAcentral.